This is a long non-coding RNA of Felis catus (domestic cat), 1075 nucleotides long. RefSeq lists it as uncharacterized. The transcript is spliced from 3 exons. Lineage: Eukaryota; Metazoa; Chordata; Mammalia; Carnivora; Felidae. The record is from RefSeq and is a predicted model, not a curated record.
ACAAUGAGCACUGAUAAAAUAAAAAGGGGGGUUCAAAGCACGCUCAGGGCUGGGCGUGCAAUGUACAGAUUCUUUCACCUGCCACACGGAAGAACGUGCAUCGGGUUUUCCUAUUUUCCAGGUCACUAGUAACAAAUUCUCCUUCAGCCCUUGCUACCUUCAGCCCGUUGAUCUAAUUUUCUCCUAACAACAGAAAGGCUCCUUCACUGUGAGAUAGAAAACAGCACAACCUUCCUGCACGCUGGAUGUCUCACAGUGCCGAUCUCUCAGAAGUCCUGGGACGUGACGAUGCCAUGUUGUGCUCUCCUUAACGCAUUGUUGAAUCAAAUGUGCUACAGUUAUGAAGUCAUUUGACUUUCUUGAGCUAUACGCUUUAGAAGUGACGACGACUCUGACGGGCUCCGGCUUUUGGGCAGUUGAAAUCUCACAAGUUAAGCGUCUGCGUGAUUUUGCUCCACGGUAGGAGUUACGGAAGUAAAAACUGUGUGUCCACCACGAACCAGGCCCCGGGAUCAUAAUUUUCCAUGGAUUUUGUCAUCGACUCUUCACCUCAGCUCAAGGAGGAGGAUGCUAUUAUCGUAUCAGUUUGCACUUGGGGCUAUUGGCGAGAGUUGUCUUAACUCUUCCUAUCCCUUGUGUUAUGAGUUGAAUUACUCACUUCCUGCCCCUGCAAAUGCUGUGUUGAAAUCCUAACCCUCAGUACCUCAGAAAGUGACCUCAUUUGGAAAGAGAGUCUUUAUAGAUGUAACACACUAAGAGGAGGUCAUUAGGGUCGGCCUUGACCAAUAUGACUGGUGUCCUGACAGGAAGGGGACAUUCAGACACAGAUGCACACAGGGAUGACCACGAAGGAACACAGGGGAAAGCCACGCUAAGACAGAGGAUUGAACUGUUGCAUGUACAAAGGAAGGAAUGCACAAAAGUAUGGCAGCCACCCACCAGAAACAAGAAAGAGGGUAAUGAGGUUGGCGUCUCCGUGUGGCCCGUGGUUUACUCAGCACGACCAGGGAAGAAAGGCCCCUCUGGGCUUCAACACCUUUCAGGGGGAAAUUCAUGCUGUUCCUCUGGGCUAAGG